UGGAAUGAGUGGUCUUCUUCACGUCAGUCAAAUCAGUCAUGAUCGUAUAACUGAUAUUGAAACUGUUCUUCAACCUGGUGAUACUCUGAAGGUAAAACCUAUAAUAAAUUACAUGGAAAUUUGCUUAGAAUUACAGAUGUGGCGUGGACAUAAAGUCUCAUUUAUUCUUUGUAUAGGUGAUGAUCUUAAGUCAUGAUCGGGAGAGAGGCCGAGUUAGUCUUUCCACGAAGAAAUUGGAACCCACACCUGGUGACAUGAUUCGCAAUCCAAAGCUUGUCUUCGAGAAGGUAGUAUUUUAAAGAAAGGAUCUCAAGCCUUUUUUGUUUGCUGCCUAUCUAAAUUACAGUUGUAGAAUAUCAAUGCCUCGAUUAGUCAUGGUUUAUUUUCACUUCCUGCAUUUUCUCCUAUCUAAUUUUCCGAGUUCCUGUUUCUGUUUUACGUUGUACUUCUUUUCAUGUCAUCCUAUAAUCAUCCACAUCACAAUCAUUUCCAUUAGCAUUAUCAUUUUGGAAGGAAAAUCCACACA
RNAcentral lists this long non-coding RNA (526 nucleotides) under Lupinus angustifolius (narrow-leaved blue lupine). RNAcentral's name for it is "long non-coding RNA (LANG_LNC000606)". The record is from RNAcentral. Lineage: Eukaryota; Viridiplantae; Streptophyta; Magnoliopsida; Fabales; Fabaceae.